This 206-nucleotide ribosomal RNA is filed under the name uncultured bacterium. RNAcentral describes it as "partial 16S ribosomal RNA". It matches the Rfam family "Bacterial small subunit ribosomal RNA", at positions 568 to 774 of the family's 1533-position model. The record is from RNAcentral.
UGCGUAGGCGGCGAGGCAAGUUGGGUGUGAAAGCCCUCGGCUCAACCGAGGAAUUGCGCCCAAAACUGCCCUGCUCGAGGGAGACAGAGGUGAGCGGAACUUGCGGUGGAGCGGUGAAAUGCGUUGAUAUCGCAAGGAACACCAGUGGCGAAAGCGGCUCACUGGGUCUCUUCUGACGCUGAGGCACGAAAGCUAGGGAGCGAAGA